RNAcentral lists this ribosomal RNA (428 nucleotides) under uncultured bacterium. RNAcentral describes it as "bacterial SSU rRNA". It matches the Rfam family "Bacterial small subunit ribosomal RNA", at positions 355 to 775 of the family's 1533-position model. The record is from RNAcentral.
UGGGGAAUAUUGGGCAAUGGGCGAAAGCCUGACCCAGCCACGCCGCGUGAGUGAUGAAGGCCUUCGGGUCGUAAAGCUCUGUGGGGGGGGACGAACAAGCCUGGCGCUAAUCACCCGGGCUCUGACGGUACCUCCUUAGCAAGCACCGGCUAACCCUGUGCCAGCAGCCGCGGUAAUACAGGGGGUGCAAACGUUGCUCGGAAUUAUUGGGCGUAAAGCGCGGAAAGGCGGCUACUUAAGUCGGAUGUGAAAGCCCUUGGCUCAACUGAGGAAGUGCACCCGAAACUGAGUGGCUAGAGUACGAAAGAGGGUCGCGGAAUUCCCGGUGUAGAGGUGAAAUUCGUAGAUAUCGGGAGGAACACCGGUGGCGAAGGCGGCGACCUGGGUCGAUACUGACGCUAAACUGCGAAAGCGUGGGGAGCAAACAG